Molecule: transfer RNA, 68 nt
Filed under: Marmota monax (woodchuck)
Lineage: Eukaryota; Metazoa; Chordata; Mammalia; Rodentia; Sciuridae
Description: tRNA.Ala
Rfam family: tRNA (bases 5-65)
About the family: Transfer RNA (tRNA) molecules are approximately 80 nucleotides in length. Their secondary structure includes four short double-helical elements and three loops (D, anti-codon, and T loops). Further hydrogen bonds mediate the characteristic L-shaped molecular structure. tRNAs have two regions of fundamental functional importance: the anti-codon, which is responsible for specific mRNA codon recognition, and the 3' end, to which the tRNAs corresponding amino acid is attached (by aminoacyl-tRNA synthetases). tRNAs cope with the degeneracy of the genetic code in two manners: having more than one tRNA (with a specific anti-codon) for a particular amino acid; and 'wobble' base-pairing, i.e. permitting non-standard base-pairing at the 3rd anti-codon position.
Source: RNAcentral
GGUUUGUGGCUCAGUGGUAGAGCACUCCCUUAGCAUGGGUGGGGCACUGGGUUGGAUUCUCAGCACCA